Long non-coding RNA from Poecilia latipinna (sailfin molly), 107 nucleotides. RefSeq lists it as uncharacterized. The record is from RefSeq and is a predicted model, not a curated record. The transcript is spliced from 3 exons. NCBI's taxonomy places the organism in Eukaryota, Metazoa, Chordata, Actinopteri, Cyprinodontiformes, Poeciliidae.
CAAAACUUUGAACUUUCUUUAAAAAUAAAUCUUAGCUGACAGAUUUUGAGAUCAGAUGUUUUAGCAUCACCGGCAGGACUAACAGUAAAAUAAGGGAAGAGUUUCUC